AGUGAACGCUGGCGGUAGGCCUAACACAUGCAAGUCGAACGGCAGCACAGUAAGAGCUUGCUCUUACGGGUGGCGAGUGGCGGACGGGUGAGGAAUACAUCGGAAUCUACUUUUUCGUGGGGGAUAACGUAGGGAAACUUACGCUAAUACCGCAUACGACCUACGGGUGAAAGCAGUGGAUCUUCGGACCUUGCGCGAUUGAAUGAGCCGAUGUCGGAUUAGCUAGUUGGCGGGGUAAAGGCCCACCAAGGCGACGAUCCGUAGCUGGUCUGGGAGGAUGAUCAGCCACACUGGAACUGAGACACGGUCCAGACUCCUACGGGAGGCAGCAGUGGGGAAUAUUGGACAAUGGGCGCAAGCCUGAUCCAGCCAUACCGCGUGGGUGAAGAAGGCCUCCGGGUUGUAAAGCCCUUUUGUUGGGAAAGAAAAGCAGCAGGUUAAUACCCCGCUGUUCUGACGGUACCCAAAGAAUAAGCACCGGCUAACUUCGUG
Molecule: ribosomal RNA, 492 nt
Filed under: uncultured bacterium
Lineage: Bacteria
Description: partial 16S ribosomal RNA
Rfam family: Bacterial small subunit ribosomal RNA
Source: RNAcentral